GUCUACGACCAUAUCACGUUGNNAACACCGGUUCUCGUCCGAUCACCGAAGUUAAGCAACGUCGAGCCCGGUUAGUACUUGGAUGGGUGACCGCCUGGGAAUACCGGGCGUUGUAGACA
This 119-nucleotide ribosomal RNA is filed under the name Mytilus trossulus (common blue mussel). Lineage: Eukaryota; Metazoa; Mollusca; Bivalvia; Mytilida; Mytilidae. The record is from RNAcentral.